UUAGUUUAUUAUUUUUCAUUUAGUUGUUUGAUGUCUUUUGAUGGCUGCAUUCAUCGCUCCCUCGAACCUCCAAAUUUCCCCUCAUUUUCUCGCCUCCCCUCAAUUUUCCCGCACUUUCCCUCCUCCGUCGUCUCGGAAACCUUUCCGACCACGCAGUGCUUUAAAAGAAUGGCGCGAUUACGAAGAAGCAGUGAAACGGAAGGACCUCGCUGGAGCUCUCAGUUUCCUGAAAUCCCUUGAAACCGAACAACGCGUAACGGUGGAACCGUUCGGCGAGGGAACUACUUCUCCGGUAGCUGAGUUGACUCGGUCUCGGUUCCGCGAGUUGGAGCUGUUCGGACCGCAGAGGGAUUGGGAAGUUCUUGACACGUGCAUGAAUGCUGAUAACAUGAAACUUGUUGCAAACGCUUACAAGUUUCUCAAGGAUAGGGGUUUCUUGCCAAAUUUUGGUAAAUGCAGGAAUAUUGAAGGGUGGUGCUUGUUUAGCCUGGUCUGGUCUGGCUUUUCCCUUUGGCGUUGGCUGUUUUUCAUGUGGCCUUUUUCUGUUUUGGAGGGUACAAGGAAUGUAACACCGGAUGUCCUGAGCUCCUCAACUGGUUUGGAAGUGACUAAACUUGCUCCAAAGAAAUGGGGUCUCUCAGAUGGUUCAAGCACUGCUUUGGUUGCUUUCUUGGGCGGUGUCUCCUUUCUUAUUUCACAAGGAAUAGACCUCAGGCCCAACCUUGCAGUGAUAUUAGGUCUAGCCUUUGCAGAUUCGAUAUUCCUGGGAGGUACCUGCUUAGCUCAAAUAUCAAGUUACUGGCCACCAUAUAGGCGUCGAAUCCUCAUUCAUGAAGCAGGACAUCUCCUAAUAGCUUACCUGAUGGGUUGCCCAAUUCGGGGGGUGAUUUUAGACCCAAUAGUUGCAAUGCAAAUGGGUAUCCAAGGACAGGCAGGAACUCAGUUUUGGGAUGAAAAAGUUGCCAGCGACCUUGCUGAAGGCCGACUUGAUGGUUCAGCUUUUGACAGGUACUGUAUGGUACUUUUUGCUGGCAUUGCGGCCGAAGCUCUUAUUUAUGGUGAAGCAGAGGGUGGAGAAAAUGAUGAAAAUCUAUUUAGAAACGUCUGUCUUCUUCUUGAGCCUCCAUUGUCUGUAGCAGAGAUGUCUAAUCAAGCAAGAUGGUCUGUUAUGCAAUCUUAUAAUUUGCUGAAGUGGCAUAAAGCUGCACACCGAGCUGCUGUUAAAGCAUUGGAAAGUGGUGGCAGUCUUAGUGCUGUAAUUAGGAGGAUCGAGGAGACAUUGUAUUCUGAAAAAUGAACCUUGGAAGUUUACAUAAAAGAAACAAAUUGUUUUUAAGUUGCAUACAGGACAGGGUUAUCGCAAAUUCACAAUGGAUUUGACACGGAGCUGGUUUUACUGGUCUUUAUGAACCAUUACGUAUUUGCAGUGGCCACAUGUAUUGGACCCUGUCUACCACGACCGAAUCAAUCAAACGAAUACUAUAUCUAUAUGUUUCAGCUGGCGACAUUAUUGAGAUCCCAACUUGUAUCUAAUAUGGUUAGAUAUGUAAUAUCAGUGGAAAUUAAGUCAUUGUGAGGAUGACAGCUUAGUUUAGAGUGGUUCUGAGCCUUUGCAUAAGUUUUCUGUUAUACAAAUGGUUUGUAAAUAAUUAAUCAUUCAUGGACAAUUGUUUUUACCAUGUGCCUCCAUAACGUAAAUACACAAGCCAUUAGGUCUUCUGUAAAA
Molecule: RNA transcript, 1726 nt
Organism: Trifolium pratense (red clover)
Lineage: Eukaryota; Viridiplantae; Streptophyta; Magnoliopsida; Fabales; Fabaceae
Exons: 9
Source: RefSeq, a predicted model, not a curated record